AGGCUGCAGAUACGUUACUUGUGCUGUGCACUCCGUCCCCUGGGAACCGUAUUGGAAUGAGAACACGAUCCAUAAAUGUACUCCAGUGACUGCUCUGCUUGAAAAUCUGAGUUUGCCUUUUAAGCCUGAUCAACUGUAAUGGUGUAUGAUAGGCCAGACAGAGCACAAGCACUAACGGCAAGCGCGAGCAGGAGGCUUCGGUUGCCCGUCUUUUCCUGUCUUUUCCCUGGUUGCCACUUUGGGAACUUCUUAGCGUCGCAGAAAUGGAGCCCCAGGAAACGUGGCAAGGCCUCUGCUGGUCCGGGAAAGCAGAUGAGGGCUGUGCCGCGGUGCCUGCAAAGCUGCGAAACAACAAUUGGAUCGUUUAUGGUGUCAUGGCCUUGGGAGUCUUGGCUGGAGAGGUGAGCUCAGCGAUGAUACACCUUUGCCACCGCGCCAGGGCAUCCUGACAAGAGGACUUUGGGAGGACACGUGACCACCCAUUUUAUGCGUGGAUCUGCCAGAGCCGCAUAUGAAGCUCCGCUGUUGGAAAAGAUAGUCACAAAGGAAAGGUGGUGUCUUUCCCACGUGCUUUAAUUAAGGAGUCUAUAUGUCUUCAUCAAAAUUGGGCCUAAAACCUUAAAUGCUUGAGGUUAAAUGCUUAAAUGCUAGGAACUUUGUGAAAGCUUCUAUAGAGGCAAAUAUAUUUAUAUAGACAAAAUAAGCCGAGUUGAAUAAUUGUUCCUUACAUUUUAUCAAGGUAGACUUCUAAGAUUCCUUGGGCAGGCAAGCCUAUGCCACACCACCUCUCAUCCUCUCCCAUCUCCUGCUCACCACUCUACACACACACACACACACACACACACACACACUGAGCCCUGAGAAUAAAACAGAGCGGUGGUAAUACUUUUACCAACAGAAAGAAGUAAAGUUUGUAAUGAUCCGGAUGGCUUCUUCAACUUUCUAUUUCACGUUACCUAUGUUGACAGAAACUGUAAUAGUUUUGCAAAUUGAACCACUUCUGAAUCUACAAAUAAAAUGAUCAAGAAAGGUAGUGGUUAGAAAAAAAGAAAAUGCAGGUUUAAUUUUUCAAAACGAGAUUUAGCUGUUGUGGUGGUAACUCAUGGUCCUAAAUUAAUACUGGGAUUUGCUCUAUUUAAAGUUUGAUUAUGAAGGUUAAAGUCUUCUGAGAUGGGUGUUUUAGAGGGUACCCCAACCAAAAGAACAGUGAGGUGAAAGUGUGAGAUUGAACAGAUGAUGCAGUCAGAGCCCCCUGGAAGUCAUGAACUUAGAAGCUCACUAUUUGGCAACUAUCAGCAUAGUAACUGAUUCAGGGAAGUGUCAUACGGGAUGCUGAAAGUGGUGGGUGAAAGUAUGAAGAGGAUUAUUAUAUGAUAUCAUAGUAUCUCUCUACAGAAUUCAUUAGAAAGGAUGAAAUAGGAAUUUGAAAGUGGAGGAACGUGGUAAAUCUCCCCUUGGCCAAGUGAUCAAAUCAACACCACCAGCAGAUCUCGUCUGUGCUUCCUGGUAUGAAGCACUGAGAAGAAUUUAGCACCCCUUCCAUGACAUUGCCACAAAAGCUCAAAAUCCAAAACUAAAUUCAGGACGAAACCUCAAGGCAACCCUAAAUGAGGGACAUUCUACAUGAUAAUUGGCUUCACUCACAAAACGUCAGGGCUACGAAAUACACAGAAAGACUCAAAUGCUGUUCCAGGUUAAAGAAAACUGGAGACAGGAUGGCUUGAACAAAGCAUGUGGCUUUGGAUUCUCUCUCUUACAAAAGGCGUGGAGUCAAUUGGCAAAAUAUUCUAUAGCUUAGCUAAUAGCACUGUCUUGGGGUUAGUCUGUCUCCUGAUCUUGUGGAUUGUAGUGUGGCUACCUAAGACAACUUCUUGCUUUUAGAAAAUACAUCUCUGCAAUUUCUCUUAAAUGACUCAGUUAAAAAGAUGGCAAAUGCUAAUAUCUAGACAAUUUGUAUACGAGAAGUCUUUGCAUUUUCCCUUCAGUCUUUCUGCAAGCCUGACAUUUAAAACAAACAACUUUUAAAAAUCAGCAAAAUAUGGACAAAAAUGCCAUUUCUUCCAGCUCACGCAGUACCAAAUAACAAGUAACUCUAACUUUUCUAACCAAAAAGCAAGUUGUUUUAGUCUCAAGUACACUCAACUUCAGGCACUGAAGGUGGAAUUUGGAAAGCAGAUCUUUUCAGAGGACCCUCUUUGCACAACCGGCUGCAAAUCAGCUUCCUGGCCUAUUUGGGCCCCAUACUUUCUCUUCUCUUCUUGCCAACACUCUGUUCCUUCUUUCAUUCAAAGGACUUUUAUGGCACAGCCUGACCCUGUAAACUGCUGGCUCUUCAGAGAGGAGCCAGACUCAGCUUCCAGUCUAUGGCACACAGAGAGAAUUCCAGUGGACUAUAUUUCAAAGUGCCACCACAGUGGAAAAACAAGGGGAGAAAAUGGUACCGUGGACAAUUUCAAGGAGGAGGCCCGAGUUGCAGGCCCCAGUCAGAGGGAGAUUGAAGACAUUGAGGGGGAGCAGGGGUGCAGUUGUAGAGGGGUCUUUCCAGGACCCGUUAUUAUGGGACGUCAGCUCAGUGGUGAGGGGUGUGACUGCCCCCCAGGCAGGGGCUGGAGCACAUCACGUUUGUCCCGCUAGAGCAUUUGAGUUCUGCAUCUUGGUGGUGGAAAACCACUGAAAGAUCAUGCUUAGAUUUACAUGUUCAAAGGGCCCUUGUUUCUCAGGCUCCCUUUGUAAUUCUUUCACUGGUCAAUUGACUUUUCCUCAGUGAAUGACUGUUUGAAGUCAGAUGCCGUACUGGUUUGAGGUACACAUGACCAAAAAAAAAUAUGAUUUUUGCUCUGAGCGUCUCCAUUCUGCAGUCUCUGUGGCUUUUUUCUUUCUGCUUUCUACCACUUAAAGGUGAGCCACAUUAAAGACCACUGUAAGUCAUA
Felis catus (domestic cat) is the source of this 2930-nucleotide long non-coding RNA. RefSeq lists it as uncharacterized. The record is from RefSeq and is a predicted model, not a curated record. Lineage: Eukaryota; Metazoa; Chordata; Mammalia; Carnivora; Felidae. The transcript has 2 exons.